RNAcentral lists this ribosomal RNA (253 nucleotides) under uncultured bacterium. RNAcentral describes it as "partial 16S ribosomal RNA". It matches the Rfam family "Bacterial small subunit ribosomal RNA", at positions 524 to 776 of the family's 1533-position model. The record is from RNAcentral.
UACGUAGGGUGCAAGCGUUGUCCGGAAUUAUUGGGCGUAAAGAGCUCGUAGGCGGCUUGUCGCGUCGGCUGUGAAAACCUGGGGCUCAACCCUGGGCCUGCAGCCGAUACGGGCAAGCUAGAGUGUGGUAGGGGAGAUCGGAAUUCCUGGUGUAGCGGUGAAAUGCGCAGAUAUCAGGAGGAACACCGGUGGCGAAGGCGGAUCUCUGGGCCAUUACUGACGCUGAGGAGCGAAAGCGUGGGGAGCAAACAGG